UACAGAGGGUGCGAGCGUUGUUCGGAAUUAUUGGGCGUAAAGCGCUUGUAGGUGGUUGUUUAAGUCGACUGUGAAAGCCCUUGGCUCAACCAAGGAAGUGCAGUCGAUACUGGACGACUUGAGUGCCGGAGAGGGUCGCGGAAUUCCCGGUGUAGAGGUGAAAUUCGUAGAUAUUCGGAAGAACACCGGUGGCGAAGGCGGCCAACUGGUCCGGAUCUGACGCUGAGGCGCGAAAGCGUGGGGAGCAAACAGG
This 253-nucleotide ribosomal RNA is filed under the name uncultured bacterium. RNAcentral's name for it is "partial 16S ribosomal RNA". It matches the Rfam family "Bacterial small subunit ribosomal RNA", at positions 524 to 776 of the family's 1533-position model. The record is from RNAcentral.